AAAACAUGGGGAGAUCGUUUUCUAGGGAUCGUUUUGUCAAAAUAUUACAGAAAUUUUAUAGAAAUUAAUCUAUGUUUCGCCAUGCUCUGCCGCUUAAUUUAUGUUUUUGUUUAUUUAAUCAUCUUCCCGAAGACACUAUCACAAUGGUCUGUACACAGAGGCACAACAUGAAACUGUAUUAUUGGCGAUAGCUACUAGAUAUUCCAACAAUUGAAGUGGUCAACAAACUGGAAAAGUCCAAAACAGCGCUUGACGAUGCCUGAAAGGUUCUAGAGAGGGCCUAAAACAGGUAUUCGGGGAAGGAAUUACAGUCUUCUGCAAAGUUGUUGAAGGAGCCUAGAUGGCUCUGGAGAGCCCUUCACUGCGCUGGAAAGAAUUUGAGGAACUUUUGAAAGCUUGUAUCUAUUAGAGAACCUAAGGAACUCUGACAAGGACAUAGACCGCUGUGAAAAAGGCCUUAGCUCUGAUUCGGUGCCCUUUCUGUAGUACAAAACAUUAAAGCAUUUGAAGCAACCGAUUGAGAAUUGGGGACAUAAAAUGGUCUCUGGGGGAAUGUCUACCAAAUACGGGCGAUGUGCACAUUCGAAUCGUUAUUGAUCCAAUUUGGUCAUUAUUUUCAAGGACUACGUUUUGGCACGAGAACCGCCUGUUUGUUUGAACCGUCUUUCUGCAAAUAAAGAAGCAAUCUGAAAGUCGCUACACUGUCUGCUCUUGGCCCUCGUAACGUCAAGGACGCAUCUAAAGAUAGGCACAUUCCGUACGGAAAUAAAACGAUUUUAUUAACUAAUACAAAGGAACAUCACUUUGGCAGCGCUCCUCUCCAAACAAACGAACAAUCCGUCACGACGUUCGCGAAAUGUGUUUGUACAGGUCGACAUUUAAAUCAUUUCCUGGGAGACUAAAUAAAGGUUUCCCUUGAGUG
Molecule: long non-coding RNA, 922 nt
Organism: Photinus pyralis (common eastern firefly)
Lineage: Eukaryota; Metazoa; Arthropoda; Insecta; Coleoptera; Lampyridae
Exons: 3
Source: RefSeq, a predicted model, not a curated record